Molecule: ribosomal RNA, 420 nt
Filed under: uncultured bacterium
Lineage: Bacteria
Description: bacterial SSU rRNA
Rfam family: Bacterial small subunit ribosomal RNA
Source: RNAcentral
GAAUAUUGGUCAAUGGAGGCAACUCUGAACCAGCCAUGCCGCGUGCAGGAAGACAGCCCUCUGGGUCGUAAACUGCUUUUAUUCGGGAAUAAACCACAUUACGUGUAAUGUGCUGAAUGUACCGAAGGAAUAAGGAACGGCUAACUCCGUGCCAGCAGCCGCGGUAAUACGGAGGAUCCAAGCGUUAUCCGGAUUUAUUGGGUUUAAAGGGUGCGUAGGCGGCUUAUUAAGUCAGGGGUGAAAGACGGUGGCUCAACCACCGCAGUGCCUUUGAUACUGAUGAGCUUGAAUGAACUAGAGGUAGGCGGAAUGUGACAAGUAGCGGUGAAAUGCAUAGAUAUGUCACAGAACACCGAUUGCGAAGGCAGCUUACUAUGGUUUUAUUGACGCUGAGGCACGAAAGCGUGGGGAUCAAACAGG